Molecule: ribosomal RNA, 1509 nt
Filed under: Triticum aestivum (bread wheat)
Lineage: Eukaryota; Viridiplantae; Streptophyta; Magnoliopsida; Poales; Poaceae
Description: partial small subunit ribosomal RNA
Source: RNAcentral
AUGGCCGGGAAGAAGCCAGCGGCUGUGAGCACCGCGCCUUCCGAGGGCGAGGAGAGCGCCGUCAUCCCCAGCUCCGCUGCCAAGCGCGGGCCCGGCAGACCUAAGAAGGACCCCGUCCCCGCCGCCGCCAGCCCCGGCUCCACUGCCAAGCGCGGGCCUGGGAGGCCUAAGAAGGACCCCGUCCCCGCCGCCGCCGCAAGCCCCGGCUCCAAGCGCGGGCCCGGGAGGCCAAACAAGGUCCCCGCCCCCGCCGGGUCCGGCGAGGGCUCUGCUCCGGAGCCCGGGAAGAGCGAGAUGGGGAAGGGGGAGAUGGAGAAGGCGGCGACCCCGAAGAAGCAGGGGAAGGGGGAGAUGGAGAAGGCGGCGGCGCCAGUGAAGACGGAGAAAGGGGCCAAGGUUGCUACCAAUAAGAAGAAGGACAAGGGGGAGAUGGCGGCGUCCCCGGAGAAGAAGGAGAAGGCGGCGACCCCGAAGAAGAAGGACAAGGGGGAGGAGGCGGCGACGCUGCCGAAGAAGAAGGACAAGGGGGACAAGGCGGCGGCGGUGCCAGAGAAGAAGGACAAGGGGGAGAAAGCUGCUACCAAGAAGAAGAAGAAGGAGAAGGGGGAGAUUGCGGCGCCCCCGGAGAAGAAGGAGAAGGGGGACAAGCCGGCGAACCAGAAGAAGGAGAAGGAGAAGGGGGACACGGCGGCGGCCCCAAAGAAGAAGGAGAAGAAGGGCGGCGAGGCGGCGGAGCCCGGAUCCAGAUCCGGGAAGCAGGAGCCGUCCGGCGAAGCGGGCAAGCCCAAGCCCAAGCCCACGCCCAAGAAGACGAAGCAGCAGGCGUCAGACGGGGCGGCCAAGGAGACGCCCAGCAAGAGGAAGCGCGACGACGCCGGGGAACCCCAACCCCAGAAGGCGGCCAAGAAAGCUGACAAGGCCACGCCCACCAAGAAGAAGCAGGCCUCCUCCGGCGGCGCUGAGAAGGCCACCACGCCCAGCAAGACACCCCAGAAGGCAGCAAAGAGCGCCAAUAAAAGCCCCGGCAAGGCGGAGAAGGCCACACCGGCCAAAAAGCAGCAGCCCUCCGGCGCGGCGGAGAAGGCCACGCCCACCAAGAGGAAGCAUGGCGAUCUGGAACCCCCAAAGGCGGCCAAGAGCGAGCAGAAUGGCUCUUCGCCUGCGAAGAAACAGAAGGACAAGGCAGCAGGGGCGGCGCCGGUGGCCGCCGAGCCGGGCAUCUGCAGCUUCCCGAUGGCGCGGGUGCGGCUGCUGAUGCGGGACAAGGACGCCACCAUCCGAUCUAACAACGAGACCGUCUUCCUCGUCAACAAGGCCUCGGAGUUAUUCUUGGAGGCAUUUGCGAAGGAUGCUUAUCAGAAUGCCCUGAAGGAACGCAAAAAGUCAAUUACCUACGAUAACCUUUCGACGGAGGUGUGCAAUGAGAAACGGUACAAGUUUCUAUCAGAUUUCGUGCCGCUGAGGGUGACAGCCGGAGAUGCACUCAAGGCUGUGGUGGAGCGGUCCUAG